GCAAGCCCUCCGCUGCCGGGCUUCGCCCCGCCCCUUCCGGGCCAAAAGCCAGGAUGAGGAAGGGACCGAAACCAUAGACUUUUCAAGGGACAGAGCGGCUUCGUCUUUUUUUCCUUUCCAUGGCCCCCUCAGUCCUGACGCCCAGCGAGGCCCGCGGACGGUUUGGUCCUCCGGCUCCCCUACGCCUCUGUCAGCCGCUAAACGGUGAAAUGCAGGACGAGUGUCACUUAAGCACCAGAAAAUAGGUGGUCCAGCCCGCCAGGAGCAGGGCCCCGAGCAGCACGGUGUAACUGAACAGGACAAACGCCAGAAGCUCCUUCAGCACCUUCAGGAAAUGGACAGCAAACGACUCCUGCAUGAUUCUGGCUCUAUAAACUGGUGGAGGUAAAUGCAUGCAGAUCGCCUGAUCUGUAGAAGAGCAGAAAAUAAAGCCAGGAUCAGCCUGCUGCUAAUCUAGGAAGGUAAUUUCUCUCCCAAAGAAAAUUAAAGCAGUUGGAAGUGAACUGAAUUUGCACCACAUCCGAGGGAAAAGAGGCAGCCGCUCCUCGAGAGAGUCCCGAACGAUCAAAGCAGGAAAGGCUGCACAGAGAGAACCACACCCGGUUCCACACCCGGUGAC
Molecule: non-coding RNA, 619 nt
Organism: Pogona vitticeps (central bearded dragon)
Lineage: Eukaryota; Metazoa; Chordata; Lepidosauria; Squamata; Agamidae
Source: RefSeq, a predicted model, not a curated record